UAGGGUUGGGAAUAGGCCAGGCCAGGCCAGGCUUUGAUAGGCCUGAGCCUGGCCUACGAAAUUUUUUGCAGGCCUGAGCCUGGCCUAUGGCCUUUCAUAGGCCUAUUUUUUUGGCCUGGCCUGGCCUAUUUAAAAGCCUGGCCUGGCCUGAAAGCCUAUUUACAGGCCUACUUUUAAAUAGGUUUAAUAGGCCUCACUAAACAUUCCAUUUUAUCUACUUUUAAAUAGGUUUAAUAGGCCUCAAAGCCUAUUUGAGUGUAAGACUUGUCUAUCACUAUAAGGCCUUAAAAGCCUAUUUCACUAUAAUGC
This 309-nucleotide long non-coding RNA is filed under the name Medicago truncatula (barrel medic). Its description in RNAcentral is "long non-coding RNA (MTRU_LNC006320)". The record is from RNAcentral. Lineage: Eukaryota; Viridiplantae; Streptophyta; Magnoliopsida; Fabales; Fabaceae.